UGCGUAGGUGGUGGGGUAAGUCGGAUGUGAAAUCUCCGAGCUCAACUCGGAAAUGGCAUUGGAAACUACCCUGCUAGAGGGUCGGAGGGGGGACUGGAAUGCUUGGUGUAGCAGUGAAAUGCGUAGAUAUCAAGCGGAACACCAGUGGCGAAGGCGAGUCCCUGGACGACUCCUGACACUGAGGCACGAAAGGCUAGGGAGCAAACA
RNAcentral lists this ribosomal RNA (207 nucleotides) under uncultured bacterium. Its description in RNAcentral is "partial 16S ribosomal RNA". It matches the Rfam family "Bacterial small subunit ribosomal RNA", at positions 568 to 774 of the family's 1533-position model. The record is from RNAcentral.